GCGCCACCGGCUCAGCCUCGCGGCGGGGGAAACCCGAGCUCCCAACAAAACGGUUCCAUCUUUGGCUAGGCCUUUGGUAUUUCAAGGCGCUGCCGGUGGGGAGAGAUGCCGCGUGCCUGAGAGGCUCUGGGAGGCACCAAAGAAGGCCCAGAGAGGUUUAACAACUUCCUCAGAAUCACACAGCUUCCAAAUGGUUGGGUUGGGUUUACAUUUAGGCGGUCUUGCUCCAGAGCCAGUGCUCCUAACCUUUGCAAGCCACGAACCUCAAGAAAGUGGAGAAGGAAACGCUGGGAAAUCUGGAAGUCAGACAUGGCAAGUUUUUCUCACUGUAAGAAGAGGACAAUAGCCUAUGAUCUACAGUGCCCAUUCCAACUCAGAGAAUCUUUACAUCUGGAGAUCUAUAGCAGGGCUAUCCCUAGUGACAUGCGUGAAGAAGCUUGGAAAUGGUGCUGGGUAGGAGCUGAGUGUGCAGAAUGUGGAAAGGCAUUCUAAACCAAAGGAAGAACACGAGUAAAGAUGAUGAAGCAGGGAUAAGGCUAAAAUGAAAUUUGUGAUCUGAUCCACAUACAAGCACAGUGUAGUACAGCUGGAAUAUAGAGAAGAGCUUGAAGACUUAUGAGCAACUAUCCCGGUACUCUUGGAGGCUCUGCAACCACAGUUUGAGAAACUCCGCGUUCAAAGUUAAAAACUGUCACCUGAAUAGUUAAUAACAUCAAAGAUUGUGAAAGCAAGUAUAAAUAACACAGAGAUUAAAAUAAUGAGGCAGGAUCAGAAAAAAACAAGAA
This 785-nucleotide long non-coding RNA is filed under the name Homo sapiens (human). RNAcentral's name for it is "long intergenic non-protein coding RNA 2028". Lineage: Eukaryota; Metazoa; Chordata; Mammalia; Primates; Hominidae. The record is from RNAcentral.